UCUGUGGCUCAGUCGGCAGAGCGACGCACUCGUAAUGCGUAGGUCAUCGGUUCGAAUCCGAUCA
This 64-nucleotide transfer RNA is filed under the name bovine gut metagenome. It matches the Rfam family "tRNA", at positions 6 to 65 of the family's 71-position model. Rfam says of the family: Transfer RNA (tRNA) molecules are approximately 80 nucleotides in length. Their secondary structure includes four short double-helical elements and three loops (D, anti-codon, and T loops). Further hydrogen bonds mediate the characteristic L-shaped molecular structure. tRNAs have two regions of fundamental functional importance: the anti-codon, which is responsible for specific mRNA codon recognition, and the 3' end, to which the tRNAs corresponding amino acid is attached (by aminoacyl-tRNA synthetases). tRNAs cope with the degeneracy of the genetic code in two manners: having more than one tRNA (with a specific anti-codon) for a particular amino acid; and 'wobble' base-pairing, i.e. permitting non-standard base-pairing at the 3rd anti-codon position. The record is from RNAcentral.